CUACACGGGUAUCUAAUCCUGUUCGCUCCCCACGCUUUCGCGCCUCAGCGUCAGUAUGAUGCCAGGUGGCUGCCUUCGCCAUUGACGUUCCUUCCGAUCUCUACGCAUUUCACCGCUACACCGGAAAUUCCACCACCCUCUCAUCUACUCCAGUUAGAUAGUUUGCGAUGCACUUCCCAGGUUAAGCCCGGGGCUUUCACAUCACACACAUCUUACCGCCUACGCGCCCUUUACGCCCAGUAACUCCGAUUAACGCUCGCACCCUCUGUAUUACCGCGGCUGCUGGCAC
Molecule: ribosomal RNA, 289 nt
Filed under: uncultured Aquicella sp.
Lineage: Bacteria; Pseudomonadati; Pseudomonadota; Gammaproteobacteria; Legionellales; Coxiellaceae
Description: partial 16S ribosomal RNA
Source: RNAcentral